RNAcentral lists this ribosomal RNA (565 nucleotides) under uncultured Bacillota bacterium. RNAcentral describes it as "bacterial SSU rRNA". It matches the Rfam family "Bacterial small subunit ribosomal RNA", at positions 332 to 889 of the family's 1533-position model. Lineage: Bacteria; Bacillati; Bacillota. The record is from RNAcentral.
UUGGCCUACGGGAGGGCAGCAGUAGGGAAUCUUCCGCAAUGGGCGAAAGCCUGACGGAGCAACGCCGCGUGAGUGAAGAAGGUCUUCGGAUCGUAAAACUCUGUUAUUAGGGAAGAACAAAUGUGUAAGUAACUAUGCACGUCUUGACGGUACCUAAUCAGAAAGCCACGGCUAACUACGUGCCAGCAGCCGCGGUAAUACGUAGGUGGCAAGCGUUAUCCGGAAUUAUUGGGCGUAAAGCGCGCGUAGGCGGUUUUUUAAGUCUGAUGUGAAAGCCCACGGCUCAACCGUGGAGGGUCAUUGGAAACUGGAAAACUUGAGUGCAGAAGAGGAAAGUGGAAUUCCAUGUGUAGCGGUGAAAUGCGCAGAGAUAUGGAGGAACACCAGUGGCGAAGGCGACUUUCUGGUCUGUAACUGACGCUGAUGUGCGAAAGCGUGGGGAUCAAACAGGAUUAGAUACCCUGGUAGUCCACGCCGUAAACGAUGAGUGCUAAGUGUUAGGGGGUUUCCGCCCCUUAGUGCUGCAGCUAACGCAUUAAGCACUCCGCCUGGGGAGUACGACCGC